Molecule: long non-coding RNA, 329 nt
Filed under: Oryza brachyantha (malo sina)
Lineage: Eukaryota; Viridiplantae; Streptophyta; Magnoliopsida; Poales; Poaceae
Description: long non-coding RNA (OBRA_LNC001127)
Source: RNAcentral
GUGCUAGAAAAUAGUCUCUCGUAAACCAGACCAGCUUCAAGAAAAAGUUAGGAAUCGGAGGAAUCGUGAAGGAAAUAGCUCCAAGUUUAAAAGAUACAGCUUGGAUCAGUGUUUUCAUGAGAUCCCCUUCAACUAAGUGAUGCCCUAGUUUCACUGUUGCCAUUGCUUAGCUGUAUUCUCUAUGGAUCUAAGAGUCAUGGGAAAGAAAGUGAUAUUUAGCUCUAUCUUAAAGACUCAUUUGGCACAGCUCCAGCUCUCAACUCCAACUUAUCUGGAGCUAGAGUUAUGUCAAACGGUACAUAUUCUAAUUUCUUUGGAACGAAGUUGAC